GAGCCCCGCGUCCCGGCGCCGCUCGGCCCAGGGCAGGGACCCCGCCACGGCCGGGACCGCCCGGCCCGGCCCCAGCCCGCGCCUCCUCGCGCCCCGCACCGCGCCCUCUCCGCGUCCCCGCCCGCGCGGCCGGACCGGGCAGCCAGAAAAAUCAUUUUUCUUCUCUGGGAAGGUGAACAUUUGUAGCACUGAUUUCCCGGAUCUGGUAACAUGGCAAAAGAUACUUUUAAAGCGUCUGAAGCGGAAUGAAGGUGAAAGAUGGAAGGAUCUGAUCUCUGAAGCUGCGGUCACCACCCGCAAGUUGUGGCCUUGGAUACCACACUGUGCAGUUGGGUGGUGAUGGGGUGGUGCCUUCUGACUUUUUCCUUAUCUUUACCGACUGUGUUAAUUGAUAAUUUUGAAUAAACGCCUUAAUUAAAUUGAGGUGGAGGGUGUUGCA
This 439-nucleotide small RNA is filed under the name Pongo abelii (Sumatran orangutan). RNAcentral describes it as "processed transcript". The record is from RNAcentral. Lineage: Eukaryota; Metazoa; Chordata; Mammalia; Primates; Hominidae.